Bombyx mori (domestic silkworm) is the source of this 77-nucleotide non-coding RNA. NCBI's taxonomy places the organism in Eukaryota, Metazoa, Arthropoda, Insecta, Lepidoptera, Bombycidae. The record is from Rfam.
CACGGCAAAAGUUUUUUUGCAUAUCCUGCACAGUUUCAGUUCUCGCAGAGUACGCAAAAAAUCAAUUUUGACGUGAG